This 465-nucleotide ribosomal RNA is filed under the name uncultured bacterium. Its description in RNAcentral is "partial 16S ribosomal RNA". It matches the Rfam family "Bacterial small subunit ribosomal RNA", at positions 28 to 507 of the family's 1533-position model. The record is from RNAcentral.
GACGAACGCUGGCGGCGUGCUUAACACAUGCAAGUCGAACGGAAAGGCCCUGCUUGCAGGGUACUCGAGUGGCGAACGGGUGAGUAACACGUGGGUGAUCUGCCCUGCACUUCGGGAUAAGCCUGGGAAACUGGGUCUAAUACCGGAUAGGAGCCAUCUUUAGUGUGAUGGUUGGAAAGUUUUUUCGGUGUAGGAUGAGCUCGCGGCCUAUCAGCUUGUUGGUGGGGUAAUGGCCUACCAAGGCGGCGACGGGUAGCCGGCCUGAGAGGGUGGACGGCCACAUUGGGACUGGGAUACGGCCCAGACUCCUACGGGAGGCAGCAGUGGGGAAUAUUGCACAAUGGGCGCGAGCCUGAUGCAGCGACGCCGCGUGGGGGAUGACGGCCUUCGGGUUGUAAACUCCUUUCGCUAGGGACGAAGCUUUUUGUGACGGUACCUAGAUAAGAAGCACCGGCUAACUACGUG